RNAcentral lists this ribosomal RNA (390 nucleotides) under Triticum aestivum (bread wheat). RNAcentral describes it as "partial small subunit ribosomal RNA". The record is from RNAcentral. Lineage: Eukaryota; Viridiplantae; Streptophyta; Magnoliopsida; Poales; Poaceae.
AUGCAGUACUACACACUGUGCACCGACCCUAGAUGCUUAUGCGGCUCAGAUUGCGAGGGGGAUGUGGAGAUGUCGCUGCCACACCUGAGAGAAGCCAAGGUCUCUGCCGUGCGCCCGGUGGACGAUCACAUGAACCUGGUGCGGCUGCUGGUGACGAGCGCGCCAAUGCUAGAGAGGAUGACCGUAGAGUUUGAGUCGUGGUCGCCGUCUUGGAAGAAGGAUAGAGGCUAUACGGUUGUUGUCAAGGAUGACCUCCCAGCCUGCAAUGGAGCACGCUGGACUCCCGGUGGCGACGAUGGGCUGUGCUAUGAGUGGACCCCGGAGAAGCCGGAUGGUGAAGCAAUUGAAGAAGAGGCUUUGGAAGCUCGCUUAAGCAAAUUUGACAUAUAA